AGAUGGAGAUGAAGAAACAAAUGGUGGGAAUGGCAAAUCCGAGGGUCCAACUUACAUUGGUUUGAACAUAAACAACACCAGUGAGAGCUAUAAGUAGAGCAAUGGUGAAAGAAAGGGACGAAUACCACCAGCACCAAUCGACAACAGACCGAGACCGGUGAAUAGAACAAGGAGCUGCCAAAGAUGUGGCUGUGGGCAAUGGCCUGAAUCAUCAGCAUUACAAUGAGGAGGCCUGAGCUGGUGGAGAGCUGCGGUGAGAGCAACAGUCCCCAUUCCCUUUUCAAAGACAAAGAAGAUUAAUUAUGAGAUAAAUGUUGAUGAAUUCAACAAGGGUAUAGUAAAAGCAAUACCAAGAAUGAUGCAAUGGAGCCAUAUAGGAGAGUGCGGUAGCGGCCAAGACGAGUAUCUGCAAUGAAAGCACCGGCUAAAGUGGCAAUAUUCGAGGUUCCAAUCCAUAUGUUAACCACAUUAACCACAAAAGUUCCAUUGACAUUAUAUUGGGUGCUGAGAUACACAGUGAUAUUAGAUAUCAAACUCAUGGAUGACAGCUUCUCAAAAGACUCGUUCCCUUCAAAAGAAGAUAUAUUCAAAACCAAAGGAAAAAACACAAAGCAGUUUGUCAUGUAUGAUGUUUAAGUAAUAAUGAAUGUUACAAACCGAUAAUGUAUUUGACGGCACGCCAUCCUCCAAGUUUCUGGCAAGGGGGCGGAGGAGGGUGGGAGGAGGGAAGAGGAGCUACCAAAUCCAUGGUGGCUGUGUAAAGACUGUAGGAAGGUGUGGAAGGAGGAUGUAUCAAAAGGAGUGGAGGAAAUUAGGAAUGGUGGAAAAGCUCCAAAAUAGAAGGUAGUUGUUGAGGAUUGUGUUUUAUGGGUAUAUGCUGUUGUUUUGCAUUGAUCCUAUUUUCCCGUUUUCUA
Molecule: long non-coding RNA, 914 nt
Organism: Cucumis sativus (cucumber)
Lineage: Eukaryota; Viridiplantae; Streptophyta; Magnoliopsida; Cucurbitales; Cucurbitaceae
Exons: 2
Source: RefSeq, a predicted model, not a curated record